RNAcentral lists this long non-coding RNA (239 nucleotides) under Elaeis guineensis (African oil palm). RNAcentral describes it as "long non-coding RNA (EGUI_LNC011470)". The record is from RNAcentral. Lineage: Eukaryota; Viridiplantae; Streptophyta; Magnoliopsida; Arecales; Arecaceae.
UCCUGUGAAUGACACACACUCUAUAUUUUUAUAUUUCACUGAUUCUUGACUUUUCAUUGUUUUAUUGCAAAUAUGGCGUGGUAUCGCCGUUGCAACGAAUAUUUUCUUGAGCAAUGGAACGAGGAAAUGUGAAAUCUCAACAAGCCAAACAUUAAAGACGCUCGCAACAGUGAGUUGAAAUGUCUUCUCUUGGGGAUAAGUAAUUAAUUAAGUACUGCCAUAUGGUGAGUAAAUCCGGC